Molecule: long non-coding RNA, 1234 nt
Organism: Homo sapiens (human)
Lineage: Eukaryota; Metazoa; Chordata; Mammalia; Primates; Hominidae
Product: MIR3936 host gene
Source: Ensembl
AGUGUGGUUGCGCCAGGCGCUGCUCAGGUUCGCGGCGUCCGGCACCCGGCAGCGGUGCUCCGGGGUCGCUAUCAGGAACACGGAGGACAGGCCGGUGAAGCCAUUGGGGAUGAUGCUGGCGCUGAGCAGGAAGAAGAUGAGGCGCUGGAAGGGCCCCCACUCGCCCAGGAAGGCGGUCACCUCGUCGUAGUCCCGCAUGCCGCCCUCAGAGGCCCACAGAGCGCGGCCUGGGGUCGGGGAACGCGGCGGGCUUUGCGCGUGCGCGCGGGGCACCCGCCGCCGACCAGGCAAGCCAGGCAGCAGGCGACCCAAGACCGUCCGCGGAGGAGACAAGCAAGCUGUCAUGUUAUAAGCAGCCCUUUGAGGGGUCCAUGUGAUGUCAAGGAAUGAAGUCUCUAGCCAACAUUUAAUGAGGAACUGAGGCCCACCAACAACCUUGAGUGAGCUUGGAAGUAGCUCCUUCAGCAUCAGUUGGGUGUCGAGAUGACUACUGACAGCUUGACUGCAACUUCAUGAGAGUCUUCUGGACCAGAACCACUCAGUUAAGUGGCUCCCAGAUUCCUGAUCCUCAGAAACUCUGAGAAAUAAUGAAUGUUGGUUGUUUUAAAAUGGUAAAUUUUGAGGUAUUAUGUUAUGUGGCAAUAGAUAGCUAAUAUAUAAAUUAUUUGAAUCAAACAAUACGUUAAAUUAAAGCUCAGAAGAAUAAACAUCUGUAAUUCCUUAAUUUGUUUUCCCUUCUAUUCUACAGAAUAGAAUUUUACAGAUGAACCUUGUAGUUACUUGUGCAAUAAGAGACAGUAUGUUGUAUUGAUUAAGUGCAGAGCCUCUGGAUGUAUGAUAGAAGAAAGACCAAUAUUCAAUUGCUUUCUUCUUCAAUUCCAAGCUUGUGAGCUUGAGCAAAUUUUAAAAGUGUUUUAAGCCUCAGUUUCCUGGGAUGGUAGUGCUUAGCUCGAGCUCCUAGCAUAUAUUAACUACAAACUAAAUAUUAGCUAUAAUUAUUAGUUUUACUUUGAUUAUUGACUCUAAAUAAAUACCUUAAGAACUUUGUGUUCUCCACAGAUUUGGAUAUGUCUGGACGUUAUGUAGGCUGGAGUAGUCAGCAAUUACUUGCCUGAGGAAGGGAAGGCCUCCUCCUUUAAGAAAAGAAUAGGCUGGGUGCGGUGGCUCAUACUUGUAAUCCCAGCAUUUUGGGAGGCUGAGGAGGGUGGAUCACCUGAGGUCAGGAGUUUGAGAC